Molecule: ribosomal RNA, 376 nt
Filed under: uncultured bacterium
Lineage: Bacteria
Description: bacterial SSU rRNA
Rfam family: Bacterial small subunit ribosomal RNA
Source: RNAcentral
UACGGAGGGUGCGAGCGUUGUUCGGAAUUACUGGGCGUAAAGCGCGUGUAGGCGGCCUUCUAAGUCUGGUGUGAAAGCCCGGGGCUCAACCCCGGAAGUGCAUUGGAUACUGGGAGGCUGGAGUACCGGAGAGGAGGGUGGAAUUCCUGGUGUAGCGGUGAAAUGCGUAGAUAUCAGGAGGAACACCGGUGGCGAAGGCGGCCCUCUGGACGGAUACUGACGCUGAGACGCGAAAGCGUGGGGAGCAAACAGGAUUAGAUACCCUGGUAGUCCACGCUGUAAACGAUGGGCACUAGGUGUUCGGGGUAUUGACCCCCUGAGUGCCGCAGCUAACGCAUUAAGUGCCCCGCCUGGGGAAUACGGCCGCAAGGUUAAA